UAGGGAAUCUUCCGCAAUGGACGCAAGUCUGACGGAGCAACGCCGCGUGAGUGAAGAAGGAUUUCGGUUCGUAAAACUCUGUUGUUAGAGAAGAACAGCGCAUAGAGUAACUGUUAUGCGUGUGACGGUAUCUAACCAGAAAGCCACGGCUAACUACGUGCCAGCAGCCGCGGUAAUACGUAGGUUGCAAGCGUUGACCGGAUUUAUUGGGCGUAAAGCGAGCGCAGGCGGUCAAUUAAGACUGAUGUGAAAGCCCCCGGCUCAACCGGGGAGAGUCAUUGGAAACUGGAUAGCUUGAGUGCAGAAGAGGAGGGUGGAAUUCCGUGUGUAGCAGUGAAAUGCGUAGAUAUAUGGAGGAACACCGGUGGCGAAGGCGACUCUCUGGUCUGUAACUGACGCUGAGGCACGAAAGCGUGGGUAGCAAACAGG
This 429-nucleotide ribosomal RNA is filed under the name Bacteroidota bacterium. Its description in RNAcentral is "Bacteroidetes bacterium partial 16S ribosomal RNA". It matches the Rfam family "Bacterial small subunit ribosomal RNA", at positions 355 to 776 of the family's 1533-position model. Lineage: Bacteria; Pseudomonadati; Bacteroidota. The record is from RNAcentral.